This 752-nucleotide ribosomal RNA is filed under the name uncultured archaeon. RNAcentral describes it as "bacterial SSU rRNA". It matches the Rfam family "Archaeal small subunit ribosomal RNA", at positions 186 to 920 of the family's 1478-position model. The record is from RNAcentral.
UCAAAAAGACGCUUACACUACGCUUGUAGGCGCCGCCCAAGGAUGGGGGCCGCGACCGAUCAGGUUGUUGGUGAGGUAAUGGCUCACCAAGCCUUUUACCGGUGCGGGCCGUGAGAGCGGGAGCCCGGAGAUGGGCACUGAGACAAGGGCCCAGGCCCUACGGGGCGCAGCAGUCGCGAAAACUUUGCAAUAAGCGAAAGCUUGACAGGGCUAUCCCGAGUGCCAUCCGCUGAGGAAGGCUUUUACCCAGUCUAGAACGCUGGGGGAAUAAGGAGAGGGCAAGUCUGGUGUCAGCCGCCGCGGUAAUACCAGCUCUCCGAGUGGUGUGGAUGUUUAUUGGGCCUAAAGCAUCCGUAGCUGGCUAGGUUAGUCCCUUGUUAAAUCCACCGAAUUAAUCGUUGGAUUGCGGGGGAUACUGCCUGGCUAGGGGACGAGAGAGGCAGACGGUAUUUCCGGGGUAGGGGUGAAAUCCUAUAAUCCCGGGAGGACCACCAGUGGCGAAGGCUGUCUGCUAGAACGCGCCCGACGGUGAGGGAUGAAAGCUGGGGGAGCGAACCGGAUUAGAUACCCGGGUAGUCCCAGCUGUAAACGAUGCAGACUAGGUGUUUGGACGGCCACGUGCCGUUCUAGUGCCGCAGGGAAGCUGUUAAGUCUGCCGCCUAGGGAGUACGAUCGCAAGAUUGAAACUUAAAGGAAUUGGCGGGGGAGCACCACAAGGGGUGAAGCUUGCGGUUUAAUUGGAUUCAACGCCG